UUCCGGUUGAUCCUGCCGGAGGCUACCGCUAUUGGAGUUCGAUUAAGCCAUGCGAGUCUAGAGGCCUAGCCUCGGCGUACCGCUCAGUAACACGUGGGUAACCUACCCUAUGCUGGGGAAUAUGCUCGGGAAACUGAGAAUAAUACCCCAUAGUCCACUACGCCUGGAACGGUGAGUGGAUCAAAGCUCCGGCGGCAUAGGAUGGGCCUGCGGCGUAUCAGGUUGUAGGGGGUGUAAUGUACCCUCUAGCCAUCCACGCGUACGGGUGUUGGGAGACAUUGCCCGGAGAUGGAUUCUGAGACACGAAUCCAGACCCUACGGGGUGCAGCAGGCGCGGAAACUUGGCAAUGCGAGAAAUCGUGACCAGGGAACUCCAAGUGGCAGGGGUAAGACCCUGUCUUUUUCCGACUCUAAAUAGGUCGGCGAAUAAGGGGUGGGUAAGGACGGUGCCAGCCGCCGCGGUAAUACCGGCGCCUCAAGUGGUAGUCGCUUUUAUUGGGCCUAAAACGUCCGUAGCCGGUCUGGUACAUUCGUGGGUAAAUCAACUCGCUCAACGAGUUGAAUUCUGCGAGGACGGCCAGACUUGGGACCGGGAGAGGUGUGGGGUACUCUCAGGGUAGGGGUAAAAUCCUGUCAUCCUGAGAGGACCACCUGUUGCGAAGGCUCCACACUAGAACGGGUCCGACGGUCAGGGACGAAGCCUAGGGGCACGAACCGGAUUAGAUACCCGGGUAGUCCUAGGUGUAAACGCUGUGGACUUGAUGUUGGGGACGCUCCGAGCGUUCUCAGUGUCGAAGCGAAGGUGAUAAGUCCACUGCCUGGGGAGUACGGUCGCAAGGCUGAAACUUAAAGGAAUUGGCGGGGGAGCACCGCAACCUGAGGAUUGUGCGGUUUAAUUGGAUCAACGCCGGA
RNAcentral lists this ribosomal RNA (912 nucleotides) under uncultured archaeon. RNAcentral's name for it is "bacterial SSU rRNA". It matches the Rfam family "Archaeal small subunit ribosomal RNA", at positions 1 to 922 of the family's 1478-position model. The record is from RNAcentral.